RNAcentral lists this ribosomal RNA (913 nucleotides) under uncultured Nitrososphaerota archaeon. RNAcentral describes it as "bacterial SSU rRNA". It matches the Rfam family "Archaeal small subunit ribosomal RNA", at positions 1 to 921 of the family's 1478-position model. The record is from RNAcentral. Lineage: Archaea; Thermoproteati; Nitrososphaerota.
UUCCGGUUGAUCCCGCCGGACCUGACUGCUAUCGGAUUGAUACUAAGCCAUGCGAGUCAUUGUAGCAAUACAAGGCAUACGGCUCAGUAACGCGUAGUCAACCUACCCUAUGGACGGAAAUAACCUCGGGAAACUGAGAAUAAUAUCCGAUAGAACAUUAUGCCUGGAAUGGUUUAUGUUCCAAAUGAUUUAUCGCCGUAGGAUGGGACUGCGGCCUAUCAGUUUGUUGGUGAGGUAAUGGCCCACCAAGACUAUUACAGGUACGGGCUCUGAGAGGAGUAGCCCGGAGAUGGGUACUGAGACACGGACCCAGGCCCUAUGGGGCGCAGCAGGCGAGAAAACUUUGCAAUGUGCGAAAGCACGACAAGGUUAAUCCGAGUGAUUUCUGCUAAAGAAAUCUUUUGUUAGUCCUAGAAACACUAACGAAUAAGGGGUGGGCAAGUUCUGGUGUCAGCCGCCGCGGUAAAACCAGCACCUCAAGUGGUCAGGAUGAUUAUUGGGCCUAAAGCAUCCGUAGCCGGCUCUGUAAGUCCUCGGUUAAAUCUGUACGCUUAACGUACAGGCUGCCGGGAAUACUGCAUAGCUAGGGAGUGGGAGAGGUAGACGGUACUCGGUAGGAAGGGGUAAAAUCCUUUGAUCUAUUGAUGACCACCUGUGGCGAAGGCGGUCUACCAGAACACGUCCGACGGUGAGGGAUGAAAGCUGGGGGAGCAAACCGGAUUAGAUACCCGGGUAGUCCCAGCUGUAAACUAUGCAAACUCAGUGAUGCAUUGGCUUGUGGCCAAUGCAGUGCUGCAGGGAAGCCGUUAAGUUUGCCGCCUGGGAAGUACGUACGCAAGUAUGAAACUUAAAGGAAUUGGCGGGGGAGCMYCACAAGGGGUGAAGCCUGCGGUUCAAUUGGAGUCAACGCCGG